RNAcentral lists this unclassified non-coding RNA (393 nucleotides) under Hevea brasiliensis (rubber tree). The record is from RNAcentral. Lineage: Eukaryota; Viridiplantae; Streptophyta; Magnoliopsida; Malpighiales; Euphorbiaceae.
UAUUUUUUUUUUUUUUUUUUGUCGUGUAAAUGAUGACUGAAAUAGAAUUUGGUGAUUAGUUUAGUGACUAGAUGCAAUUUACCCAUAAUAUGUAUAAAAACCUUGUUGUGACUCUAUAAAGGGAAAAACUCUGGUGUGAUCUUAGAUAAUAGGUAAGAACAACAAUUUUUAGAUAAGAGGGGUUCGGGCCAUAAUGAAAAGGAACUUGAAUAAAUGGAAAUAGAUCAAUAAUUGUGUGUUACAUCGUUGAAGCCAAAAAAAAAACAAUAAUGUGGGGGCUUCAUGCGGGUGAAAGAGCGUGCCGUGGAGUUGGCCAAGGCCAUGGAGGAGGAGGAUUGGGUACAAGGUGCAGUAAAUGCCUUCUAUAAACAUUUUCCUCGCUACAAGUUGGAA